This is a long non-coding RNA of Carassius auratus (goldfish), 1940 nucleotides long. NCBI's taxonomy places the organism in Eukaryota, Metazoa, Chordata, Actinopteri, Cypriniformes, Cyprinidae. The record is from Ensembl.
AUAAUCACACACAUACUCUCAUGUUGUAGCUCAUGGCUUAAAUCAACAACCUUAAUCUUCACAUCUACUUCCGAUGCUAAAUAUUGGAUAAACUCCACCAUUCGUGGUGAAUCGUGCUUUUUUUUAAUUCAUAGAUUUGUAUUGAAUGAAUCUGUAUUUGCAGGAGCCUCCACAGUGAGUGAAAAACAGAGAGGAAUCGCCACACUGCCAUGUAAAUAUGAGGCCAAAGACAUUUCAGAUAUACGCUUUAUACGACAAGGAAAACCUGUACACUUUUCUGUUUGUGAAGAAUAUAAAAGAGGAAGUGGCCGAAUCUGUCAAAAAGGAGCAUGUGACAUCAUCAUCCAGAAUCUGAGCUUCAGUGACGCUGGGAAAUACAUUUUUAGAUUCAAUUACAAAAGUGCUCCGAUGGAUCAGACGUACCAACUUCAUGUUCAUGAUGAGAUGUGUGUGAAGAUCGGUGAGCAGCUGAAGUUAGAUGUUCUGUCGUCAGAAGCUGAUGAAGUGCAGCAUCAGAGCAGAAGAAGCACCGAGUGGAAAGAUGUUUGGACGAGAGGCCAUGGUGUUCAGAAUCAGCUCCUGAAUGAUAGAGAUGGAAACCUGAUCAUCAAUAACUUUACAGCCAGUGAUUCAGGAAAAUACAGAGUUCUGGGGUCUGAAGGAGAACGCUUGAUCACAGUGACUGUUAGAGAAUCUAAAGGAUCUUGCUCAGGUGAAAAACUCAGUAGUGAUGCUGCACAACACAGGCACUGGAUUGGACCGGCUGGGUUUGUUUGGGUGGUUCUUUGCCUUUUUUAAAAGAAGAACGAUACACUGGUGUCUAGAGGGAGGUCUGAGUAGGUCCUACAUGUGCUACAUCUGCCAUAUUGUAACGUGACCCGUCCUAAAAGUAGUAGAACGUCCAGGUAAUUUCUGACAGCUGUUUUAUAAGUAUUACAAGAUUUUAUUGCCAUCUGAAUCCAGAAUGUCAGUGUGUUUCUCCCACCACCCGUAUAGUUCCCCGACCGAAUUACCUACUGUUUUUUUAACAAACAAAAAGGUCAUGUGGUAAUUUCACUGCAUUUUUUUUGGCAGCAGUAAACAUCUACACUUUUAUUACUGAAAGAUAUAUAACAUAUUAUUGCACCAAAGGGCAUGUUAUGCAAUUUUUGAUGUUUGUAUGUAUGCAUGUAUUUAUUUAUUUAUUUAUUUAUUUAUUUAUUUAUUCAUUCAUUUUCAUGGACAUGUUAUAUAAUCUCUUUGACCCUAAUGUAAAUGACCCCUUUGACCCUCAAAUGGAACAUCAGUGUCUUUAAUGUCAGUGUAAGUCCCUCGAUUGUCCACCAGAGGUCUCACUCACCAGAGGAUUGACUAUUGGACUACAGUUCCCAGCAAGCCUCACACCUGGACUAAUUUCUGCUCACCUGAUACUUGCACACAGAUUAUUUAAAAACCGUGUUUUUGUUCUUCUUGAAGUCUUUUUUAUUGUGUAUCGACACAGCUCUAGCUGCCUGCCCUGGUCUGUUGUUUGCUGUGUUUGUUAGGCUUUACUGCCUAAACCACAUGGAUUCAGCCAGAGUCUGUGUUACAAUCAGACUGAAACGAUUAGGGAUCUUGUCUAAAAUAAGACAACUCAUAUGUGGAAUCUAUCAGCUAGGAGCUGCACAAUGUUUGACAUAUUUUACAUUGUUAUUGUCAGUUACGUAGACAAACUGAUUAAUACUAUUGUUUUUAUAGUGUUUAGAAUUAUCCCUUAUUACGAAAAUAAAUAAAUAAUUGUACAAUCUUUACUGUGUGCGCCAAACUUGUCAUUUCCUAAAAAUCACACUGUAUAAAUCUAAACAGUUUUCUCAUAUUACAAAAUAAAUGAGAGCAUGUGAAUUUUUAAAAACUGUUUUUAACUUAUUUUUGCACUAACUGCAAAUUAUAUGAAUAGUAUUUUUAGUAUUUUUUAUUUUUUU